This 253-nucleotide unclassified non-coding RNA is filed under the name fungal sp. Its description in RNAcentral is "partial internal transcribed spacer region". The stretch from base 1 to 46 matches the Rfam family "Eukaryotic small subunit ribosomal RNA", at positions 1786 to 1831 of the family's 1831-position model. The record is from RNAcentral. Lineage: Eukaryota; Fungi.
AAGUCGUAACAAGGUUUCCGUAGGUGAACCUGCGGAAGGAUCAUUAACACUUUAACAAUCCAAAACCUUUGGAUCAACCCAACCUUUAGCGAACCGUUCGUUUUUUUCCCUUUGCCCCAUUUAACCAUAUAAACCCAACGAAAAUUCUGAUGUAAAGUGUCUGAUUCCAUAUUCUGGUGAUCGGCUCGAAAGGGCUUUAUCGGAAUCAAAAUCUAACGCAAUACAACUCUUAACAACGGAUAUCUUGGCUCUC